GAUGAAGAACGUAGCGUAAUGCGAUAAGUAAUGUGAAUUGCAGAAUUCAGUGAAUCAUCGAGUCUUUGAACGCACAUUGCGCCCCCUGGUAUUCCGGGGGGCAUGCCUGUCCGAGCGUCAUUGCUGCCCUCAAGCACGGCUUGUGUGUUGGGCCUCCGUCCUCCUCCCGGGGGACGGGCCCGAAAGGCAGCGGCGGCACCGCGUCCGGUCCUCGAGCGUAUGGGGCUUCGUCACCCGCUCUUGUAGGCCCGGCCGGCGCUUGCCGACACAUCAAUCUUUUUUCCAGGUUGACCUCGGAUCAGGUAGGGAUACCCGCUGAACUUAAGCAUAUCAAUAAGCGGAGGA
Molecule: unclassified non-coding RNA, 345 nt
Filed under: soil metagenome
Description: partial contains 5.8S ribosomal RNA, internal transcribed spacer 2, and large subunit ribosomal RNA
Rfam family: 5.8S ribosomal RNA (bases 1-120)
Source: RNAcentral